Molecule: long non-coding RNA, 2162 nt
Filed under: Pan troglodytes (chimpanzee)
Lineage: Eukaryota; Metazoa; Chordata; Mammalia; Primates; Hominidae
Description: long non-coding RNA NONPTRT010263
Source: RNAcentral
CAGAAACAUGCAUAAUAAUCUCAUAAGAGAACAUCCAGAGUAUAAAAGACAAGUUGAAACUCAGGGACAUUUUACCUAAGCAAUUAAUUUCCAGAUGGAGUUGCCUUGAUCAGUCAUGUAACCACUGGGUAAGAGUUCUAAACUAUCAGAAAGAGUUCUAAACUAUCAGAAUCAAAACAGACAAUACGAUAGAACAUACUUGGAAGCUACCUGGCCAAUAGGUUCACUCAUGUCUUUCUGAUAAUUCCCCUGGUCCCACCUCACUCCCUUUCUCUGUCUCUUACCACAGCUAAGCAGAAAUUCAACCAAGUAACUGACCACAUGUACUGUGUGUUGAUCUAUAAGAAAAACUGGAGAGAGAACUUGAAUCAUGGCAUUUGUGCGUAUGAAAUUCGAUCACAUACUGGCACUCAUCUAAGACUGAUCCCACUUAAUGCACCCAAACGGGACCUACCUAAUUAAUUCAGGAGAUGUGUUACUGCUCAGAAGAGUCAAUCAGCAGCAUGCUAUGGCUACAAUGACUGAGGACUACUGGAGAGUCCAGGAUUGAUUAAGUGUCUGGCUGAGAGACCAAGAGGACCAGACACAUGGGAAGUGCUGUUUCUCGAAGCUCUGCCUUCAGGCAGACAAGGAAAGACCUGGUCAUUCAAAGAUGUAUAAAAGCCCUCCCUUGCCCAUUUUAAUGCACAAGCCUGAUGCUUACAUGCAACUUUUAACUGACCAUCCCUUGGUCCUAAGCACAAAGUUCUCUGUAAGAGCAGCUCUAUAAGGACAUAGUGGGAAAUGUCAGCUCCCUGGGACGAGCAUCGGUAUUCCGUGAGAACACCAGGUCUGUUAAAGGUUACCCACCUACCUGGUGUGACUGGCUGGAGAAAUAAGUUAGGGAGAAUCUAGAUGUGGUUGAAUUGUCAUUGCUGCUCAAAAUUUGUUUCUUUGUGAUAACAACAACAACAACAAAACAACAACAACAACAACGGGUGAAAUUAUCUUGAAAUACAAAAGAAUGUUUGUUGGUCCUGAGAGUGAAAAAAGGAAUCCUUAACAGCUUCAGCUUGCACCAAGAGGAUUUUUUUUUAUCAGCUUCCCUUCAUAAGAGAGGAUGGAGGAUUUUGGAAGAGACAGAACCUGGGAGAAAUUCAGUGAGCUGCCACUUACUGUUAACUACUCCACAGAAGAACUGUAUGUUUAUUGGAAUUCAGUAAAUGUGGCAUGUAAGGAUUUAGUCAAUGUCUGGCAAAAUGCUGCCACUUAGGACCCGUUUGGCUAAUACUAGAAGUAGUCAUCAAGUUAACUAUAACUGCCCAACAUUUUCUUAGAAGCCAAAGAACUUAAACUUUUAUAGAAGAAUGCCCAGUCAGUACUAUAUUAAUGUGUGUAUUACAUUUAUUGACUGUUGAACAGACCCUGAUUCCCAAGAGUCUUUAAGGCCAUAAUAAAUGCAAAAAUUGUAACUAAAUUCCCUUUGUACUCUUCAGUCUUUCUUGUAACCUCAAUGAAACUGAAAGUACUAUUUUAAAAGUACAAUGACUACGACAAAAUUCCAUUUAAAAAUCUUUAAAGUGUUGGGUUCUGAGGCUUUUGAACUUGAAUAUUUACACUGACCCCAAUAAAUUCUCCUCUAACCAAGUUCUCAUGUCAGCCAAGGGGGAUUGUGCUGGAUAGUAAGGAUGUCUACAAGUAAAUCCACUUGCAAAACUAUAAAAGGAGCUUCAACAGUCAGGGGCAUUUAAUGGCCUGGAAGAUCUAGAAAGAUCCAAGGAGGGUAGGGAGUAAUAUUCAUCCACCAGAGCCACCUCACCCACAUUCCAGAGUUGCUGAAAUUAUUACACACAUGUAAACAUAAGGACAAGACAAAGUUUUUUCAAGAAAUUAGAAAGGAAUGGCCGGGCACCGUGGUGCCUCACGCCUAUAAUCCCAUCACUUUGGGAGGCCGAGGCAGGCAGAUCACAAGGUCAGGAGAUCGAGACCAUCCUGGCUAACACGGUGAAACCCUGUGUCUACUAAAAAUACAAAAAAUUAGCUGGGCGUGGUGGCGGGUGCCUGUAGUCCCCAGCUACUCAGGAGGCUGAGGCAGGAGAAUGGUGUGAACGUGGGAGGCAGAGCUGGCAGUGAACCAAGAUCGCACCACUGCACUCUAGCCUGGGCGACAGAGCGAGAGACUG